This 308-nucleotide ribosomal RNA is filed under the name uncultured bacterium. RNAcentral's name for it is "partial 16S ribosomal RNA". It matches the Rfam family "Bacterial small subunit ribosomal RNA", at positions 505 to 808 of the family's 1533-position model. The record is from RNAcentral.
GAGACAGCAGUCCCGCGGUAAUACGAAGGGUGCAAGCGUUACUCGGAAUUACUGGGCGUAAAGCGUGCGUAGGUGGUGGUUUAAGUCCGUUGUGAAAGCCCUGGGCUCAACCUGGGAAUUGCAGUGGAUACUGGGUCACUAGAGUGUGGUAGAGGAUAGUGGAAUUUCCGGUGUAGCAGUGAAAUGCGUAGAGAUCGGAAGGAACAUCUGUGGCGAAGGCGACUAUCUGGGCCAACACUGACACUGAGGCACGAAAGCGUGGGGAGCAAACAGGAUUAGAUACCCGUGUAGUCCCUGUCUCUUAUACA